Molecule: ribosomal RNA, 781 nt
Filed under: Cryphoeca exlineae
Lineage: Eukaryota; Metazoa; Arthropoda; Arachnida; Araneae; Hahniidae
Description: partial 28S ribosomal RNA
Rfam family: Eukaryotic large subunit ribosomal RNA (bases 493-781)
Source: RNAcentral
CAAAGGUAAACGGGUGGGCCCUCGAAAUCCUGUGGCGAGAGGAUUCAGUCUGGGUCGGCGGACGUGCUGGUCGGAAACCGAGGCAGGGCCUCCCCGAGCGGGGGCCGUCCGGCCGCACGGAGAAACCGCGGCGCCAGACGCAUUUGACUCUCGCCCGAAGGACGCCGCAGCCGGCUGGGAAGUGCAAGCGCGACGGCCUGAGGGGCGGAAGAUGGCAGGUGGCCGGUGGCGUGCCUCGUGCGCGUCGCCGGUUGUUAGCCGUUCCGUCAGUGGCUCGUCUCCCGGCCGAGGUGUCGCUAGGCCCUUGAGGCCUCGUCGUCUCCUCCUUUGGAUGGCGGGACAGAGCGCCGCAGGUGGGAGCCGCCGCCCCGUUCGCACCCCGCAGGGGUGGUCGGGCGCGCGGAUCCCGCCGCUGGUGGCGCCGGUUCCGUCGGAGGCUGGAGGCUCGCGGCGAGUAGGUCGGUCACCCACCUGACCCGUCUUGAAACACGGACCAAGGAGUGUAACAUGUGCGCGAGUCAAUGGGUCUUGCUUAGGCCCAGGGGCGUAAUGAAAGCGAAGGCCGGCCUCACGCCGGCCGAGUUGGGAUCCCCGGCUCCGGCCGGGGCGCACCAACGACCCGUCCUAUCCGGCUCGCCGGUUGGGCGGAGUGUGAGCGCAGACGUUGCUACCCGAAAGAUGGUGAACUAUGCCCGGACAGGACGAGGCCAGAGGAAACUCUGGUGGAGGUCCGCACCGAUUCUGACGUGCAAAUCGAUCGUCAGAUCCUGGUAUAGGGGCG